This 459-nucleotide ribosomal RNA is filed under the name uncultured bacterium. RNAcentral describes it as "partial 16S ribosomal RNA". It matches the Rfam family "Bacterial small subunit ribosomal RNA", at positions 339 to 795 of the family's 1533-position model. The record is from RNAcentral.
CUACGGGGUGCAGCAGUGAGGAAUAUUGGUCAAUGGGCGAAAGCCUGAACCAGCCAUGCCGCGUGAAGGAUGACGGCCCUAUGGGUUGUAAACUUCUUUUGUAAGGGAAGAAACCACUCUACGUGCAGAGUUCUGACGGUACCUUACGAAUAAGCAUCGGCUAACUCCGUGCCAGCAGCCGCGGUAAUACGGAGGAUGCAAGCGUUAUCCGGAUUUAUUGGGUUUAAAGGGUGCGUAGGCGGAAAAUUAAGUCAGUGAUGAAAUCCUGCAGCUUAACUGUAGAACUGUUAUUGAUACUGGUUUUCUUGAAUGUAGUUGAGGUAGGCGGAAUGAGUAAUGUAGCGGUGAAAUGCUUAGAUAUUACUCAGAACACCGAUUGCGAAGGCAGCUUACUAAGCUACGAUUGACGCUGAGGCACGAAAGCGUGGGGAGCGAACAGGAUUAGAUACCCGCGUAGUC